UGCAGUAUUUGAUCAAAGGAUACCUUAGAUCAUGACAGGUACCUGGAUGUUCUGGACCAAACCAGUUGGAAGUCAGGUUGCAGAUGGAGCUUCUGCUGAGUGUCAUCCAGAUAAGUUAGCAUAUCUGUUGAAUUGUUAGAUGAUGGGGCAAAAACAACUUAGGGUAGAUUUACAGUCUAACAGUUAAUUGGUGUAACAAGACCUGGAUUAAGUGGUAGGGCCUUGGAUUUGUUUGUAGGACGAGAGUUACAUGUAAAUUUUCUGAUGUAGAAAUCAUGGAAUACUUUUAAUCGGCGCAUAGGAAUGAUUCAUUUCCAAACAGAAGUUUAAAAGUUUAUUAAAGUGGUAAUCCAUAGAAAGAUAGGUAUCAAACAUGUUUUCUUGUUUUCAUUAUUAAAAACAAAUUUUUAUUUUUAUCUAUCAUAUGCAUUUUUCAAAUUUCAAAAAAAAAAGAAAAAAGAAAAACCUGAAUAAAACAUUUGCAGCGAAAAGAAAAAGGAAGGGGGAGAGCGGGUCGACUUGGCGCAAUCCUCUUUUCGGAUUAAACCAUUCCGAUUUUGGCACCAUUGAUGAGGAUAGGAAUGGUGACACCCACAUUUCAGAAAAACCUUUUUUUUUUUUUGAAGAGUUUGAUAAAAAAAAAAAAACUCCACUUUGUCAUAGGCCUUUUUGCCAAAUCAAGUUUCA
RNAcentral lists this long non-coding RNA (687 nucleotides) under Gossypium barbadense (sea-island cotton). Its description in RNAcentral is "long non-coding RNA (GBAR_LNC017805)". The record is from RNAcentral. Lineage: Eukaryota; Viridiplantae; Streptophyta; Magnoliopsida; Malvales; Malvaceae.